CGUGUAGGUGGCUAAUUAAGUCAGGUGUGAAAUCCUUCCGCUUAACGGGAGAAGUGCACUUGAAGCUGCUUAGCUAGAGUACGGGAGAGGAAGGUGGAAUUCCUGGUGUAGAGGUGAAAUUCAUAGAUAUCGGGAAGAACACCGGUGGCGAAGGCGGCCUUCUGGCCCGAUACUGACGCUGAGACGCGAAAGCGUGGGGAGCAAACAGGAUUAGAUACCCUGGUAGUCCACGCCGUAAACGUUGGGCACUAGGUGUGGGAGGUUUUUAUUCCUUCUUUGCCGAAGCUAACGCAUUAAGUGCCCCGCCUGGGGAGUACGGUCGCAAGGCUAAA
Molecule: ribosomal RNA, 332 nt
Filed under: uncultured bacterium
Lineage: Bacteria
Description: bacterial SSU rRNA
Rfam family: Bacterial small subunit ribosomal RNA
Source: RNAcentral